RNAcentral lists this long non-coding RNA (615 nucleotides) under Nicotiana benthamiana. RNAcentral's name for it is "long non-coding RNA (NBEN_LNC030219)". The record is from RNAcentral. Lineage: Eukaryota; Viridiplantae; Streptophyta; Magnoliopsida; Solanales; Solanaceae.
UAAUACUCUCAAAUCCUAGCCGCCACUAUUCAUCAUCUCCUUCCUCCAUCUCCAAACCCUUUCAUGGCUGCCGUUCCUAUCUUCUUCCCCGUCAUCCUCACGACCAACUGAACCCCAUCAUCAAACAACCAGCACUCGGGCAGCAACAGAUCGAAUCUCCACCUUCACGACCUCUGCUGGUGCUGUCCCCGUUGUGAAGAAACCUCCACGCCAGUCAUUUGUUCAACGGCAGUCAUACUCACGUGAGCAGCCCGCUUGCUUCACCUCACGUCCAAACACACUAACCAAACAGCCCCCCGUUCAUUUUCUUCUUUAGCUCCAUGAACGAGCUCACCCACGGACUGCCCUCCUCCAGCCAGCUCGACACCGCCGGCCAGCUACUAUACUGUUCGCCAUUCCCGUCCAAACAUCCAUAUAUAUAUAUAUAUAUACGUAUGUUAGUUUAAUAAAUCUUUCAUCUUGAUUGCAAUAUUGUUAGAUUUAAUUUAAAGUUUAAUCGAUUAUUGAGUUUAUUGAAUUGAAUCCGUUUUUUGUACUGGUUAAGUCUAAGGUUGGAUAUGAAUUAGAAAUUUGAAUUUGUUUGUUUGAUCUGUCUAAGUUUUAUUUGAAUUUGAC